UAGGGAAUCUUCCACAAUGGACGAAAGUCUGAUGGAGCAACGCCGCGUGCAGGAUGAAUGCCUUCGGGUUGUAAACUGCUUUUAUCUGUGAAGAUUAUGACGGUAGCAGAUGAAUAAGGAUCGGCUAACUCCGUGCCAGCAGCCGCGGUCAUACGGAGGAUCCAAGCGUUAUCCGGAAUUACUGGGCGUAAAGAGUUGCGUAGGUGGCAGAGUAAGUUGAUAGUGAAAGCGUCCGGCUCAACCGGAUAUCCAUUAUCAAAACUGCUCAGCUAGAGGACAAGAGAGGUUAUUGGAAUUCCUAGUGUAGGAGUGAAAUCCGUAGAUAUUAGGAGGAACACCGAUGGCGUAGGCAGAUAACUGGCUUGUUCCUGACACUAAGGCACGAAAGCAUGGGUAGCAAACGGGAUUAGAUACCCCGGUAGUCC
Molecule: ribosomal RNA, 425 nt
Filed under: uncultured bacterium
Lineage: Bacteria
Description: bacterial SSU rRNA
Rfam family: Bacterial small subunit ribosomal RNA
Source: RNAcentral